GAUGAACGCUGGCGGCGUGCCUAAUACAUGCAAGUAGAACGCUGAAGGAGGAGCUUGCUCUUCUGGAUGAGUUGCGAACGGGUGAGUAACGCGUAGGUAACCUGCCUGGUAGCGGGGGGUAACUAUUGGAAACGAUAGCUAAUACCGCAUGACAACAGUUAUUGCAUGAUAACUGUUUAAAAGGGGCAACUGCUCCACUACCAGAUGGACCUGCGUUGUAUUAGCUAGUUGGUGAGGUAACGGCUCACCAAGGCGACGAUACAUAGCCGACCUGAGAGGGGGAUCGGCCACACUGGGACUGAGACACGGCCCAGACUCCUACGGGAGGCAGCCGUAGGGAAUCUUCGGCAAUGGACGGAAGUCUGACCGAGCAACGCCGCGUGAGUGAAGAAGGUUUUCGGAUCGUAAAGCUCUGUUGUAAGAGAAGAACGAGUGUGAGAGUGGAAAGUUCACACUGUGACGGUAUCUUACCAGAAAGGGACGGCUAACUACGUG
This 495-nucleotide ribosomal RNA is filed under the name uncultured bacterium. RNAcentral describes it as "partial 16S ribosomal RNA". It matches the Rfam family "Bacterial small subunit ribosomal RNA", at positions 28 to 507 of the family's 1533-position model. The record is from RNAcentral.